CAUGGUUUAUGUCGGUUAAAAGAAACUCCCACUAGAAAGAGUAAAGAUACAACUCUCAGAACUAAGUGUUAUGACUCAUAAAGAAUUUCUAUGUUCUACAUAUUCAUGUUUUAUUCUUUUAUAGUAUAUGUUUUAUUCGAGCUGAGGUGAGUCAUUACAUUUAGCGUGCAUCUUUUGAAACAACAACAACAACAAACCCAGUAUAUCCUUUGCAUCCUUUGAAAGAUUUGCUUAAAUAUUGUAUUAUUGUCUUACUUGUGCAUCAUCCC
RNAcentral lists this long non-coding RNA (269 nucleotides) under Capsicum annuum. RNAcentral's name for it is "long non-coding RNA (CANN_LNC019729)". Lineage: Eukaryota; Viridiplantae; Streptophyta; Magnoliopsida; Solanales; Solanaceae. The record is from RNAcentral.